AAAAUGGCCCACUUCCCACUGGCGAAAACUCAUGAAAUUUGGCAGGACGACCGGGCCUGGUGAAAAAUUCGAUAUUCUGAAGUCACCCAAACAAUAAAAUGCAAAAUGGCUCCAUAGCGCCCCCUAAGGUGGAAAUUCACACUAUUGACUGUCACGCCUGUACGCUUUGUCAUAUUGACACAAAAAUUGACACACAUAUGUAUCUCAAUAAGAUCUACAAAAAAGUCAGUGCGGCCGUAUCUGUCAAAAUUACGGUUAAAGGGUUAUUUCGCAUUUUUUUCCGAUCCGCACACAUUGGAAUUUCGCUAACUCCUCCGAAGGCUUUCGUUCCACCGGCACCACAUUUGCUCAGGCCAAUCUACACCCCGUGGCCAUUAAAAGUUAUCAAAAUCAUGACGCUGCACCCCAAGGUUUAGGUUCUAGGGGGCGCCAAAGAUAACACUAAAAUCCACAUAUUUAAAAGUCUUAUAACUUUUUAUUUUUGUCCUCACUGGCCUCCAAGUUUUCUAGGAUGAUGCAAUGUCCAGCCAUCAACACAUUUGUGAAGGAAUUUUUACUCCCCAAAAGAGCGCCCCCCCAUGGCAGGAGAAAAAAGUCCAAUUUUUCUUGUCCCCUAAGGUGAAAAUACACAUUGUUCAGUGUCACGCCUACACGCUUUGUCAAAAUGACACAAAAAUUGACACACACAUGUAACUCAAUAAGAUCUACGAAAAAGUCAAUGCGCGCGUAUCUGUCAAAUGUACGGUUAAAGGGUUAUCUCGCAUUUUUUGCCGAUCCGCACACAUUGGAAUUUCGCUAACUCCUCCGAAGGCUUUCGUUCCACCGGCACCACAUUUGCUCAGGCCAAUCUACACCCCGUGGCCAUUAAAAGUUAUCAAAAUCAUGACGCUGCACCCCAAGGUUUAGGUUCUAGGGGGCGCCAAAGAUAACACUAAAAUCCACAUAUUUAAAAGUCUUAUAACUUUUUAUUUUUGUCCUCACUGGCCUCCAAGUUUUCUAGGAUGAUGCAAUGUCCAGCCAUCAACACAUUUGUGAAGGAAUUUUUACUCCCCAAAAGAGCGCCCCCCCAUGGCAGGAGAAAAAAGUCCAUUUUUUCUUGUCCCCUAAGGUGAAAAUACACAUUGUUGAGUGUCACGCCUAUACGCUUUGUCAAAAUGACACAAAAAUUGACACACACAUGUAACUCAAUAAGAUCUACGAAAAAGUCAAUGCGCGCGUAUCUGUCAAAUGUAUGGUUAAAGGGUUUUUUCGCAUUUUUUGCCGAUCCGCACACAUUGGAAUGUGGCUAACUCCUCCUAAGGCUUUCAUUCCACCGGCACCACAUUUGCUCAGGCCAAUCUACACCCCAUGGCCAUUAAAAGUUAUUCAAAUCAUGACGCUGCACCCCACGGUUUAGGUUCUAGGGGGCGCCAAAGAUAACCCUAAAAUCCACAUAUUUAAAAGUUUUAUAACUUUUUAUUUUUGUCCUCACUGGCCUCCAAGUUUUCUAGGAUGAUGCAAUGUCCAGCCAUCAACACAUUUGUGAAGGAAUUUUUACUCCCCAAAAGAGCGCCCCCCCAUGGCAGGAGAAAAAAGUCAAUUUUUUCUUGUCCCCUAAGGUGAAAAUACAUAUUGUUGAGAUUCACGCCUAUACGCUUUGUCAUAUUGACACAAAAUUUGACAAUCACGUGCCUUGCCUGGUAUCAUUUUUUUCAGCACAACCUCACCUGUGCGAAUUUACAGUUAUUUUAUCAUGUUGACAUACUGAAUUUACACAAUGGACCCAAAUUCACACACAAAACAUAAAAUCCGAGUGGAAAAAGUAACAUUUUUACUGUGAAAACCACAAAUAUGUGUGAUGAACUGUUUUUAAAACUUAAACUUCAAAUAAAAAUUGUAAACUUCAAAACAUAUGCAAAUUUUUAACAAAGAACAUAGUGAUUUACCUCUAUUUACAUCAAAAUGCAGGCAAUGGCCCAGGCGUUCUUUGUAAAAUUAUUUACAAAACACUGUAUAGUCUCACAAAUGUCACUUUUUAUUUAUGCCACUACAAAAAAACAUGAUGUAAAUGAUGCAUGAUGUAAAACAUGAUGUAAAAAACUUGUGUAGAUCCUCCUCUAUGUCAGUCCAUGUGUAAUUUUUCCAUAAUUCUUUGUUUUUUGCAGCAUUUUUGUUAGUGUAACUGCAGAUUGUGCUGACAGUGUCUAUGGCACAAAAAAAAAAAAAAUUUAAAAUGCCUCAACAUGAACCCCUGGUGGUCUCUGAGGGUGAAACCUGCUAACUGCUGCAGCUCUGUCAGCUUCAGUCUCCCAUGCAGAGCUCUGAGCGCAUGUGUGGCUCUGCACCCUUAGCAGCGUUGCUAACUCCUCAGUAAGGAAAGCCUGCUUCAUGUCAGAGUCUCUAAACUCCAGAAGAAGUCGAUAAAAGUCCCUUUCUUUCUAAAAAAAAGUCGUUAGGGGGUCUGAAAAGUCAUUGAAUCUAACAACAAAGUCGCUAGGUUUGCAACUACGUGUCCCAGACUGCAUCCCUGCUGAGAGUCCCUCCCUCGCUUCUCAUGUUGCAGGAAGAACGUAAGCACCCGCCCCUUGUCAAUCAGUCACCAUAUAAUUUUGGAUUGGUUGUUGUGGUGAAGUUUUCCACCAAUAGGAGAGAUGUUGUGGUGUGUUUUUUUCUUUUGGCAAGCCUUUUCCGCCUGUAAGACCUGUCGCUAAUGUCUGCAUGCUAUGUUUUCCUGUCUCAUACAGCGCGAUCGAGCGCCGAACGUGAUCAAAAUAAGCAGAAAAAAAGUAUCGCGGACAUAAUUUAUCAUAACUCUGGUUUUAUUUGGCCUAUCAACACAAUUUAAAAACUGGUAUAUAGGUUGAGGUCCUCACUUUUGAGAUAAGUUGAAACGGAGAGUCAACGAGGCUCCGUCUUGCAGCUACAUCCGGUUAAAUAUGUCAUGUGACUUGAACGCACACACAGACACACACACACGCACACACACACACACACACACACACACACACACACACACACACACACACACACACACUCAGAGUCUGGUUUUUAGCACCUGCAAAAACAUGCUAUUUACAUAUUUGACAAGAAUGCAGAGGCUCCUUUUGCCCCUGAAAAAAAUCAAAUUUCAAACACAACUUGACUGCUCAAUUCUCCAAAAGACAACCAUGAAGCUCCAUCCAAACCUGAAGCAGGCAGUUGGUGCAUGUGUACAGUAACCUGAGGGGAGUGAGGUGAGUGCUUCUGAGGAGAACAUGAGCAGUGAAGAUUCACCUUGGAGCUAGAACAGAGACAUGCACAUGAUUAUACAGGGGCAGGGGCUCAAGUUUUUUCCAGUCGUUUAUACAAUAUGGAAAUUAAUGUGAAAUUAAAACACAAAGUAUUAAUAGAAAGGUUAUGACUGUCCUGUGUAGGUGACAGUGAUAUCCAAUAGGCUAGGCACUCACGAGGCUGGCUGUGGCAAGUGUAAGUGAAAGCAACACGCACUGGCAAGAAGAACAGCAAACGCCGAUGAAGGAAAAGGGUCUUUGCAGUGAUGGGCGUUACCAGAGAGGGCGAUGGCCAGAGGACACAAAUGGGACGGGGAGGCAGCACGUUGGGGGGGGACGCGACACGGCUCGGGCCCGCCAGUGCCCCAACGGGGUCCUAGUUUCUUUUUUCUCCCCUUUGAACUGGAAAAUGGCCCACUUCCCACUGGCGAAAACUCAUGAAAUUUGGCAGGACGACCGGGCCUGGUGAAAAAUUUGAUAUUCUGAAGUCGCCCAAACAAUACAAUGCAAAAUGGCUCCAUAGCGCCCCCUAAGGUGAAAAAUUCACCUGACGCCUGUACGCUUUGUCAAAAUGACACAAAAAUUGACACACACAUGUAUCUCAAUAAGAUCUACAAAAAAGUCAGUGCGGGCGUAUCUGUCAAAUGUACGGUUAAAGGGUUAUUGCGCAUUUUUUGCCGAUCCGCACACAUUGGAAUUUCGCUAACUCCUCCGAAGGCUUUCGUUCCACCGGCACCACAUUUGCUCAGGCCAAUCUACACCCCAUGGCCAUAAAAAGUUAUUCAAAUCAUGACGCUGCACCCCACGGUUUAGGUUCUAGGGGGCGCCAAAGAUAACCCUAAAAUCCACAUAUUUCAAAGUCUUAUAACUUUUUAUUUUUGUCCUCACUGGCCUCCAAGUUUUCUAGGAUGAUGCAAUGUCCAGCCAUCAACACAUUUGUGAAGGAAUUUUUACUCCCCAAAAGAGCGCCCCCCAUGGCAGGAGAAAAAAGUCCAUUUUUUCUUGUCCCCUAAGGUGAAAAUACACAUUGUUGAGUGUCACGCCUAUACGCUUUGUCAAAAUGACACAAAAUUUGACACACACAUGUAACUCAAUAAGAUCUACAAAAAAGUCAAUGCGCGCGUAUCUGUCAAAUGUACAGUUAAAGGGUUAUUCCGCAUUUUUUGCCGAUACGCACACAUUGGAAUUUCGCUAACUCCUCCGAAGGCUUUCGUUCCACCGGCACCACAUUUGCUCAGGCCAAUCUACACCCCAUGGCCAUUAAAAGUUAUUCAAAUCAUGAUGCUGCACCCCAUGGUUUAGGUUCUAGGGGGCGCCAAAAAUAACCCAAAAAUCCACAUUCUUAAAUGUUUUAUAACUUUUUAUUUUUGUCCUCACUGGCCUCCAAGUUUUCUAGGAUGAUGCAAUGUCCAGCCAUCAACACAUUUGUGAAGGAAUUUUUACUCCCCAAAAGAGCGCCCCCCAUGGUAGGAGAAAAAAGUCAAUUUUUUCUUGUCCCCUUACAUGAAAAUACACAUUGUUGAGUGUCACGCCUGAACGCUUUGUCAUAUUGACACAAAAAUUGACAAUCAUGUGUAUCUCAAUUAGAUCUACGAAAAAGUCAAAGAGCGCGUAUCUGUAUAAUGUACGGUUAAAGGGCUAUUUUGCAUUUUUGCGGAUUCGCACACAUUGGAAUGUGGCUAUCUCCUCCUAAGGCUUUCGUCCCACCGAUACCAAAUUUGCUCAGGGCAAUCUACACCCCAUGCCCAUUCAAAGUUGUAAAAAUCAUGACGCUGCACCCCACGGUUUACGUUCUAGGGGGCGCCAAAGAUGACCCAAAAAUCCACAUUCUUAAAAGUCAUUUUGGCCACUGCAGGAGUACAGAGUACUGCAGUUCUAGGGGGCGCCAAAGAUGACCCAAAAAUCCACAUUCUUAAAAGUCUUUUUGGCCACUGCAGGAGUACAGAGUACUGCAGGAUACACACACAUAUACACACACGCCAACAUACACACACACACACACACACACAGACACACACACACACUCAGAGUCUGUUUUUUAGCACCUGCAAAAACAUGCUGUUUACAUAUUUGACAAGAAUGCAGAGGCUUCCUUUUGCCCCUGAAAAAAAUCAAAUUUCAAACACAACUUGACUGUUCAUUUCUCCAAAAGACAACCAUGAAGCUCCAUUUCAAACCUGAAGCAGAUAGUUGGUGCAUGUGUACAGUAACCUGAGGGGAGUGAGGUGACUAUUUCUGAGGAGAACAUGAGCAGUGAAGAUUCACCUUGGAGCUAGAACAGGGACGUGCACAUGAUUAUACAGGGGCAGGGGCUCAAGUUUUUUCCA
Non-coding RNA from Xyrichtys novacula (pearly razorfish), 5575 nucleotides. The record is from the annotation of a GenBank genome assembly. Lineage: Eukaryota; Metazoa; Chordata; Actinopteri; Labriformes; Labridae.